This 449-nucleotide ribosomal RNA is filed under the name uncultured bacterium. RNAcentral describes it as "bacterial SSU rRNA". It matches the Rfam family "Bacterial small subunit ribosomal RNA", at positions 354 to 796 of the family's 1533-position model. The record is from RNAcentral.
GUCGAGAAUUUUUCACAAUGGGGGAAACCCUGAUGGAGCGACGCCGCGUGGGGGAUGAAUGGCUUCGGCCCGUAAACCCCUGUCAUUCGGGAACAAACCUUCCGCCCUAACACGGCGGAAGUUGAUAGUACUGGAAGAGGAAGGGACGGCUAACUCUGUGCCAGCAGCCGCGGUAAUACAGAGGUCCCAAGCGUUGUUCGGAUUCACUGGGCGUAAAGGGUGCGUAGGUGGUGGGGUAAGUUUGAGGUGAAAGCUCCGGGCUUAACCCGGAAAUUGCCUUGAAGACUAUCCCGCUAGAGGAUCGGAGGGGAGACUGGAAUUCUCGGUGUAGCAGUGAAAUGCGUAGAUAUCGAGAGGAACACCAGUGGCGAAGGCGAGUCUCUGGACGAUACCUGACACUGAGGCACGAAAGCCAGGGGAGCAAACGGGAUUAGAAACCCCUGUAGUCC